Molecule: long non-coding RNA, 355 nt
Filed under: Bos mutus (wild yak)
Lineage: Eukaryota; Metazoa; Chordata; Mammalia; Artiodactyla; Bovidae
Description: lncRNA (ENSBMUG00000006088.1)
Source: RNAcentral
GAAGGGGCCCCCAAACAAGGAAGCAGCGCCUGCGGGGCCUCGCCCUUACUCCUCUGCUUGAAAGGCUCCCAAGCCAGUGGGGAGGACACUGCUUCUUAUUACAGCUUCUCAGAAGCACCACUGGAAGCUCAGCAGAUGUGGGCGCCCCAGCCAACAGCACAGAGGGGUGCAGGGGAGCUACAGAGAAGCCCCUUCUGAUGCCCCAAGGAGCAAGCCGACCCCUUCCAGGCUCCAGGAACACCACAAAGCAAUAUGAAACCUGUUCAUGAGAGGAGUCAGGAAGGAAUGCCUUCCACCAAAGAAACGAGACCUCCCCGUGACCAGCGAGGAUAUGGGGAGAACCACCAGCUGCUCA